RNAcentral lists this ribosomal RNA (253 nucleotides) under uncultured prokaryote. RNAcentral describes it as "partial 16S ribosomal RNA". It matches the Rfam family "Bacterial small subunit ribosomal RNA", at positions 525 to 777 of the family's 1533-position model. The record is from RNAcentral.
ACAGAGGUCCCAAGCGUUGUUCGGAUUCACUGGGCGUAAAGGGCGCGUAGGUGGCCUGAUAAGGGUGUGGUGAAAGUCCGGGGCUCGACCCCGGAUCUGCCGUGCCGACUGUUAGGCUAGAGUACUGUAGGGGCAGGCGGAAUUCCGGGUGUAGCGGUGGAAUGCGUAGAGAUCCGGAGGAAGACCGGUGGCGAAGGCGGCCUGCUGGGCAGUUACUGACACUGAGGCGCGACAGCGUGGGGAGCAAACAGGA